UUGUUAUGAUGAGAUUCCACUUAUGGUCCGUGUUUCUGAAACACAUGAUUUUGUGGAAGUUCUGAUUUA
Molecule: small nucleolar RNA, 69 nt
Organism: Gorilla gorilla gorilla (western lowland gorilla)
Lineage: Eukaryota; Metazoa; Chordata; Mammalia; Primates; Hominidae
Gene: SNORD18
Rfam family: Small nucleolar RNA SNORD18
About the family: U18 is a member of the C/D class of snoRNA which contain the C (UGAUGA) and D (CUGA) box motifs.
Source: Ensembl